Molecule: microRNA precursor, 197 nt
Filed under: Zea mays
Lineage: Eukaryota; Viridiplantae; Streptophyta; Magnoliopsida; Poales; Poaceae
Description: MIR1435 microRNA precursor family
Rfam family: MIR1435 microRNA precursor family
Source: Rfam by way of RNAcentral
CAAAUUUGUCCUAAGUCAAGCAUUUCUAACUUUGACCAAGUUUUAGAAAAAAAUAUGUUAGCAUGUACAAGUUCAAAUAAAUACACUAUCAAGACAUAUUUCAUAGAGAAUUUAGUGAAACUAGUUUGAUAUUGUAGAUAUUGAUUCAAUUUUCUAUGAAUUUGGUCAAAGUUAGAGAAGACUUAGGACAAAGCUAA